UGCUCAGACCAUGCAGCUCUGGCCCAGGAGCCCAGGUCUGAAUUUCCAGAUCCUACCAUUGUGUGAUCAACACAGAGCAGACCACUGACCAUGAACUUGGGGCUCAUCUUUGCUUUCUGUGUCUUUAUUUUAAAAGGUUUCCAUUGUGAUGUGCAGCUGAUGGAGUCUGGAGGAAGCUUAGUGCAGCCUGGAAAGACCCUGAAACUUUCCUGUGAAGCCUCCGGAUUCACCUUUAGUGACUAUAGCAUGCACUGGGUCCGCCAGGCUCCAGGGAAGGGACUGGAGUGGGUGUCACUCAUUAAUUAUGACAGUAGUUACAUCGAGUAUGCCAACACUGUUAAGGGCCGAUUCACCAUCUCCAGAGACAAUGCCAAGAAGACAAUGUACCUGCAAAUGAACAGUCUCAAGUCUGAGGAUACAGCCAUGUAUUACUGUGCAAGAGACACAGUGAGCGAAUGCUACUGUGAGCUCAGACACAAACCUCCCUUCAGGGAUCUAAGGACCAGCAGAGGGCACAAAUAG
Mesocricetus auratus (golden hamster) is the source of this 522-nucleotide non-coding RNA. NCBI's taxonomy places the organism in Eukaryota, Metazoa, Chordata, Mammalia, Rodentia, Cricetidae. The record is from the annotation of a RefSeq genome assembly.